CCUACGGGUGGCUGCAGCUAAGAAUAUUCCGCAAUGGACGAAAGUCUGACGGAGCGACGCCGCGUGGAUGAAGAAGGCCGAAAGGUUGUAAAGUCCUUUUGUUGGGGAAGAAUAAGCGCGGGAGGGAAUGCCCGCGUGAUGACAUGAACCGACGAAUAAGCCCCGGCUAACUACGUGCCAGCAGCCGCGGUAACACGUAGGGGGCGAGCGUUGCGCGGAAUUACUGGGCGUAAAGGUCAUGGAGGCGCCCGAAAGUCACCGGCUUAACCGGUGGAUUGCGUCGGGAACUGCAGGGCUUGAGUCACGGAGAGGGAGCUAGAAUUCCUGGUGUAGGGGUGAAAUCUGUAGAGAUCAGGAAGAAUACCAAUGGCGAAGGCAAGCUCCUGGCCGAUGACUGACGCUGAGGUGCGAAAGUGUGGGGAUCAAACAGGAUUAGAUACCCUUGUAGUC
Molecule: ribosomal RNA, 450 nt
Filed under: uncultured bacterium
Lineage: Bacteria
Description: partial 16S ribosomal RNA
Rfam family: Bacterial small subunit ribosomal RNA
Source: RNAcentral